AUUGAACGCUGGCGGCAUGCCUUACACAUGCAAGUCGAACGGCAGCACGGGAGCAAUCCUGGUGGCGAGUGGCGAACGGGUGAGUAACAUAUCGGAACGUGCCCAGUAGUGGGGGAUAACCCGGCGAAAGCCGGACUAAUACCGCAUACGACCUACGGGUGAAAGCAGGGGAUCGCAAGACCUUGCGCUAUCGGAGCGGCCGAUAUCAGAUUAGCUUGUUGGUGGGGUAAAAGCCUACCAAGGCGACGAUCUGUAGCUGGUCUGAGAGGACGACCAGCCACACUGGGACUGAGACACGGCCCAGACUCCUACGGGAGGCAGCAGUGGGGAAUUUUGGACAAUGGGCGCAAGCCUGAUCCAGCCAUGCCGCGUGCGGGAAGAAGGCUCGGUGUAACG
Molecule: ribosomal RNA, 396 nt
Filed under: uncultured bacterium
Lineage: Bacteria
Description: bacterial SSU rRNA
Rfam family: Bacterial small subunit ribosomal RNA
Source: RNAcentral